RNAcentral lists this ribosomal RNA (496 nucleotides) under uncultured bacterium. RNAcentral's name for it is "partial 16S ribosomal RNA". It matches the Rfam family "Bacterial small subunit ribosomal RNA", at positions 29 to 507 of the family's 1533-position model. The record is from RNAcentral.
AUGCACGCUGGCGGCGUGCCUAAUACCUGCCAGUCGAGCGAACGGACGAGAAGCUUGCUUUUCUGAUGUUAGCGGCGGACGGGUGAGUAACACGUGGAUAACCUACCUAUAGGACUGGGAUAACUUCGGGAAACCGGAGCUAAUACCGGAUAAUAUUUUGAACCGCAUGGUUCAAAAGUGAAAGACGGUCUCGCUGUCACUUAUAGAUGGAUCCGCGCUGCAUUAGCUAGUUGGUAAGGUAACGGCUUACCAAGGCAACGAUGCAUAGCCGACCUGAGAGGGUGAUCGGCCACACUGGAACUGAGACACGGUCCAGACUCCUACGGGAGGCAGCAGUAGGGAAUCUUCCGCAAUGGGCGAAAGCCUGACGGAGCAACGCCGCGUGAGUGAUGAAGGUCUUCGGAUCGUAAAACUCUGUUAUUAGGGAAGAACAUAUGUGUAAGUAACUGUGCACAUCUUGACGGUACCUAAUCAGAAAGCCACGGCUAACUACGUG